Molecule: ribosomal RNA, 408 nt
Filed under: uncultured bacterium
Lineage: Bacteria
Description: bacterial SSU rRNA
Rfam family: Bacterial small subunit ribosomal RNA
Source: RNAcentral
UGGGGAAUUUUGCACAAUGGGCCAAAAGCCUGAUGCAGCGAUGCCGCGUGGAUGAAGAAGGCCUUCGGGUUGUAAAGUCCUUUCGACAGGAAAGAAGAAAAUGACGGUACCUGGAGAAGAAGCCACGGCUAAUCACGUGCCAGCAGCCGCGGUAAGACGUGAGUGGCAAGCGUUAUCCGGAAUUACUGGGCGUAAAGAGCGCGUAGGCGACUCCGCAAGUCAGAGGUGAAAAGUCAGGGCUUAACCUUGGCCUUGCCUUUGAAACUGCAGAGAUAGAGUACAGGAUAGGAGGGUGGAACUACAAGUGUAGCGGUGGAAUGCGUAGAUAUUUGUAGGAAUGCCGAUGACGAAGGUAACUCUCUGGACUGAUACUGACGCUGAGGUGCGAGAGCUAGGGGAGCAAACAGG